GCAUUAAGAAUAACAAGAAAAGGACAAUAAUAAAGGAGAUAGCAGUUUGCUUUGGGUCAGAGAAACUCAAGAUCUAGGAGAGGACACAAAGAGAGCUCACCCCAGCUUGAUGAAGAUCUGGAAAGAUGGCUGCAGUCACCCAAAGAGAACAUGGAGCUACAGGACCCUUGCAAGGGCUGUAAGAGAAACAUCUAAAAGUUUUAGGUCCAGCAGCAUAAAAUCCUAGACACCUGUUCUGAAUGGAAGAUUUUGAAUUGGAAGCCUCUCCUCUGUAAUAACAUUGAAAGCGGGAAGUCUUAUUUUUAUAUGUCCAGCACUUCACAUGCAUCUUGAAACACGGGACACAAAAACUAAGGAUCAAGAUGUUGGUGAAAAGAAGAUCAAAAAGGGAUGAAAGCGUUAAGCCAGCGAGAAGGAAAUCAGCUUUUUAGGAACUUGUGAAGAAGGCAUGAAUGAAUAAUUGUUUUUAUAUCAGCAGUCCUUUGGCUUGUCCCUUCUUAUUGUCCUCCUUUUUCUGUCCAAUUUUUCCCAGGAUGCUGGCCUCAGUGGACUGCAUCUCCGUGGGUUCCUUUUGGCCAAUGGGAAGCUCUGAAGACAAUCCAAGGGCAGGAGAGAGGUUAGGGUUUACUUCCCCUCCCUGACUAUUUCAGUAUCUUAUAUCUGGAAGAAGAGCUGUCCCUCCCCAAGCACAGCUUCUGUGUGGCGGCCUGUCCUUCUGAGUUCCAGCUGUCCUCGCUGAGUUCCAACAAUUGUCCUCCCAGCCCACUCUUGAGACUUAGGCUUUUCUCUGCUGCCCACCCUGUAUGCCCACCCCUGUAUGCCUUAAAAUUCCUUGUUUAUCCCUUUAACUCCAUGCCUUUGUAUGUAGUCACUUCAGAAAUAAAUC
Chinchilla lanigera (long-tailed chinchilla) is the source of this 886-nucleotide long non-coding RNA. RefSeq lists it as uncharacterized. NCBI's taxonomy places the organism in Eukaryota, Metazoa, Chordata, Mammalia, Rodentia, Chinchillidae. The transcript is spliced from 5 exons. The record is from RefSeq and is a predicted model, not a curated record.